GAGUGAGCACAGCUCUUUUAGAAUUUUUCUAACACGAUUUCUGACCUUGGUCAGAAAAGCCAAU
Small nuclear RNA from Apodemus sylvaticus (European woodmouse), 64 nucleotides. RefSeq annotates it as U7 small nuclear RNA. The record is from RefSeq and is a predicted model, not a curated record. The transcript has a single exon. NCBI's taxonomy places the organism in Eukaryota, Metazoa, Chordata, Mammalia, Rodentia, Muridae.